This 200-nucleotide unclassified non-coding RNA is filed under the name plant metagenome. RNAcentral's name for it is "partial contains small subunit ribosomal RNA and internal transcribed spacer 1". The stretch from base 1 to 46 matches the Rfam family "Eukaryotic small subunit ribosomal RNA", at positions 1786 to 1831 of the family's 1831-position model. The record is from RNAcentral.
AAGUCGUAACAAGGUUUCCCUAGGUGAACCUGCGGAAGGAUCAUUAAAAAUUGUCGAGCCGACCUCGUGUCGUGCCUCAGCAAACCAAUGUGAACACACCCGUUGCUUCGGCGGCAUGCCCAGCGCUGUCAGCCCGUCCGAAGCCCCUUCAAAACUCUUCUGUAAACUGCAGUCAGACACGAUAAAGCAAAUCGUUAAAA